ACGAACGCUGGCGGCGUGCUUAACACAUGCAAGUCGAACGGAAAGGCCCUGCUUGCAGGGUACUCGAGUGGCGAACGGGUGAGUAACACGUGGGUGAUCUGCCCUGCACUUCGGGAUAAGCCUGGGAAACUGGGUCUAAUACCGGAUAGGAGCCAUUUUUAGUGUGAUGGUUGGAAAGUUUUUUCGGUGUAGGAUGAGCUCGCGGCCUAUCAGCUUGUUGGUGGGGUAAUGGCCUACCAAGGCGGCGACGGGUAGCCGGCCUGAGAGGGUGGACGGCCACAUUGGGACUGAGAUACGGCCCAGACUCCUACGGGAGGCAGCAGUGGGGAAGAUUGCACAAGGGGCGCAAGCCUGAUGCAGCGACGCCGCGUGGGGGAUGACGGCCUUCGGGUUGUAAACUCCUUUCGCUAGGGACGAAGCUUUUUGUGACGGUACCUAGAUAAGAAGCACCGGCUAACUACGUG
Molecule: ribosomal RNA, 464 nt
Filed under: uncultured bacterium
Lineage: Bacteria
Description: partial 16S ribosomal RNA
Rfam family: Bacterial small subunit ribosomal RNA
Source: RNAcentral